This 230-nucleotide ribosomal RNA is filed under the name Triticum aestivum (bread wheat). RNAcentral describes it as "partial small subunit ribosomal RNA". The record is from RNAcentral. Lineage: Eukaryota; Viridiplantae; Streptophyta; Magnoliopsida; Poales; Poaceae.
CCCCUACCUCGCUCUCUCCCCACGAACCUCUCUGUCUCUCGCGACUCCUCUCUCCCCCACAAACCCCUCUCCCUCGCCGCCGCCACCACCCACGCCGGCCGGUUCCGGCGAGCUCCGGCGGCGCGCAGCACGCCCCCGAGCUCCCCUAGGUCCGCUCCACCUUCCCCUCCAUCCAGAAUCGGCGCUCCCGUCCUCCACCGACCCCGUGGCUAGCUAGGGUUUCGACCACC